CUAAGAAUGAAGAAGAAGAAUUCAACACUAGACCACUAUCUGUUCUGAUGAUGAGUAUUAAAAAUGAUACUCAUGUAUGUUUUUUUAACAUUAGAUAGUAACAUGGAUUCUGAGGCAGCCCCUAGAAGGCAUUUUAUGUCUGAGGUUUUAACCAGACACUUUAACUUCAGUAGCAAGAAGCUUCUGGGUCGUGGCAUGGCUUUUCAUAGGCACCACAACAUGGUUCAGGAUCAAAAUUUUAAAAAUAGUUUAUUCGAUGAAAACUAAAUAGUGAAGAAGCAAGAAUCAAAUAAUCAUCCAGCCAACUGCUGAACCUGAAAGUACAAUUUUUCGAAAUCAGAUUGGAAAUGUCCUUUGCAGUAUGCAGGAACAACUUUUUGAAUGAUUUGCCUUCCUUGGAUCCAGAAUUAUGUGUUCAUCUUAAUUUUCUAUAUUUUCCAUAACUAAAUUAAGCUGGAGAAAUAAUACAUCUUAUAUGUCUAGAUGGUUUACUUGAUGAACAUUAUUAAGAGGAAUAUUAAAUGUGAUGUUUAGAACGAUGAAAUAAUCUUGUGGUUUUCUAGGGUAUUUUCCAGAUAAAAUACUAGGUUUUAUAAAUAGUUUCCAUUUAUUUGCUGCACACAUGUAUUCUGCUGGACCAAUUGAAUGGUUUAUCAUGUUCAAUUGACGCUCUCUGGUUUAUCCAAUCUGGUUUGCUUCUCCUUUCUCAGUCUUGAUCAUUUCCCUAACAGUUUCUUUCUUUGAUUGGGUC
Molecule: long non-coding RNA, 751 nt
Organism: Lotus japonicus
Lineage: Eukaryota; Viridiplantae; Streptophyta; Magnoliopsida; Fabales; Fabaceae
Exons: 3
Source: RefSeq, a predicted model, not a curated record